Molecule: long non-coding RNA, 674 nt
Organism: Xenia sp. Carnegie-2017
Lineage: Eukaryota; Metazoa; Cnidaria; Anthozoa; Malacalcyonacea; Xeniidae
Exons: 2
Source: RefSeq, a predicted model, not a curated record
GUCACCGCUGUUAUCAAUUCAUCAAUGAGAUCCUUUGAGAGACCCUGCUCAACCAAAUAUUCCCGCAAGGAGAUGUUGAAAAUCUAAUGCUCUUGCCAUCAAAAAGUGAGAAGCGACCUCCGGAAACACUUCUCUUCUCAAGACCUAAAAUAUUGAAGAGAGUAAUCAUAGCAAUUUUUGAUAGUCUAAUGAAAAUGUCAAUUUUGACAGUGUUAUAGCUUUGCAGUUAUGAGAUAUAAUUGGUUGUUUGCGUUUAUAUUAUUUGAAGUGCAUCAAAAUGAACUCACCCAACAAUUCUGCAAAUCUUCUCAUGUACAAGUUGUCUGGAUGAAUGAUGCUCCCCCCUGAUUCAAACCUCUCUCCGAAGCAAGUCAGGGUGGAUAAUCUACCUCCGAUGCGAUCACUCUUCUCGAAGACAGCAAUGUGUGCUGUUUUUCCAAAUAAUUCACGCAAAAAAUACGCAGAGGCAGAUCCGGCUAUUCCUCCUCCGAUAAUCGCAAUACGUGGCGAUUUUUCGUCGCUCUUAAUAGCCGCAAGCACAUCAACACUCACGGCAAUUGCAAUUGAAAGCAAAGAAGCACACCGAACGGAUAUUUUAUGCAUUAUUCAUAGCCUGUCAAACCUUGUGGACAGUUAUUGUUUAGGUAAUCAAAAAUUACACUUUACUGUCCGAA